Molecule: ribosomal RNA, 495 nt
Filed under: uncultured bacterium
Lineage: Bacteria
Description: bacterial SSU rRNA
Rfam family: Bacterial small subunit ribosomal RNA
Source: RNAcentral
AGAAUUUGAUCUUGGUCAGGAUUAACGCUGGCGGCGUGCCUAAUACAUGCAAGUCGAAUGGUAGUAGCAAUACAAACCAUGGCGAACGGGUGAGUAACACGUAGGCAACCUGACUUUAAGACGAGGAUAACCGUUGGAAACGACGGAUAAUACUGGAUAGGACAUCAGAAAGGGCAUCCUUAGAUGUUUAAAGGUUAUUAUGCCACUUAGAGAGGGGCCUGCGGCGCAUUAGCUAGUUGGUGAGAUAACAGCCCACCAAGGCGAUGAUGCGUAGCCGGACUGAGAGGUUGAACGGCCACAAUGGAACUGAGAACGGUCCAUACUCCUACGGGAGGCAGCAGUAGGGAAUUUUCGGCAAUGGGCGCAAGCCUGAACCCGAGCAACGCCGCGUGAACGAAGAAGUUAUUCGUAAUGUAAAGUUCUUUUAUCUGGGAAGAAAAACAAAUUGACGGUACCAGAUGAAUAAGCUCCGGCUAACUACGUGCCAGCCGCAGC